RNAcentral lists this ribosomal RNA (257 nucleotides) under uncultured bacterium. RNAcentral describes it as "partial 16S ribosomal RNA". It matches the Rfam family "Bacterial small subunit ribosomal RNA", at positions 524 to 776 of the family's 1533-position model. The record is from RNAcentral.
UACGUAGGGGGGCAAGCGUUUGUCCGGAUUUAUUGGGCGUAAAGAGCGUGUAGGCGGCUUCACAGGUCCGCUGUGAAAACUCGAGGCUCAACCUCGAGCUGUCGGUGGAAACCGUGUGGCUAGAGUCCGGAAGAGGAGAGUGGAAUUCCCCGGUGUAGCGGUGAAAUGCACAGAUAUCGGGGAAGAACACCCGUGGCGAAGGCGGCUCUCUGGGACGGUACUGACGCUGAGACGCGAAAGCGUGGGGAGCGAACAGG